AGUGAACGCUGGCGGUAGGCCUAACACAUGCAAGUCGAACGGCAGCACAGUAAGAGCUUGCUCUUACGGGUGGCGAGUGGCGGACGGGUGAGGAAUACAUCGGAAUCUACUUUUUCGUGGGGGAUAACGUAGGGAAACUUACGCUAAUACCGCAUACGACCUACGGUUGAAAGCAGGGGAUCUUCGUACCUUGCGCGAUUGAAUGAGCCGAUGUCGGAUUAGCUAGUUGUCGGGGUAAAGGCCCACCAAGGCGACGAUCCGUAGCUGGUCUGAGAGGAUGAUCAGCCACACUGGAACUGAGACACGGUCCAGUCUCCUACGGGAGGCAGCAGUGGGGAAUAUUGGACAAUGGGCGCAAGCCUGAUCCAGCCAUGCCGCGCGAGUGAAGAAGGCCUUCGGGUUGUACAGCCCUUCUGUUGGGAAAGAAAAGCAGCAGGUUAAUAACCCGCUGUACUGACGGUACCCAAAGAGUAAGCACCGGCUAACUUCGUG
RNAcentral lists this ribosomal RNA (492 nucleotides) under uncultured bacterium. RNAcentral's name for it is "partial 16S ribosomal RNA". It matches the Rfam family "Bacterial small subunit ribosomal RNA", at positions 29 to 507 of the family's 1533-position model. The record is from RNAcentral.